AUUGAACGCUAGCGGGAUGCUUUACACAUGCAAGUCGAACGAGUGGCGGACGGGUGAGUAAUAUAUCGGAACGUGCCCAGUAGCGGGGGAUAACUACUCGAAAGAGUGGCUAAUACCGCAUACUCUUGGAGCGGCCGAUAUCGGAUAAGCUAGUUGGGUGGGUAAAGGCUCACCAAGGAAACGAUCCGUAGCUGGUUUGAGAGGACGACCAGCCAAAUUGGGACUGAAACACGGCCCAGACCCCUACGGGAGGCAGCAGUGGGGAAUUUAGGACAAUGGGGAAAACCCUGAGCCAGACAUCCCGCGUGUAUAAGAAGGCCUUCGGAUUGUAAAGUAAGUUUGGCAGAGAAGCGGUAUCUGAAGAAUAAGCACCGGCUAACUACGAGCCAGCCGCCGCGGUAAUUC
This 405-nucleotide ribosomal RNA is filed under the name uncultured bacterium. Its description in RNAcentral is "partial 16S ribosomal RNA". It matches the Rfam family "Bacterial small subunit ribosomal RNA", at positions 30 to 526 of the family's 1533-position model. The record is from RNAcentral.